AUAAAAUUGGCCACUUCUUUUAGUGAUAUGUGGGUUGGGUCAUCUUCUAGCCCCAAUAAACUUGCGCUGCCAGAUCCGCCACUGUUGUAAUCCCUCUUCUCUGGUCGCUGUCGCCGUGUUCGUCGCUGCUCGAGCUCGCCUUGGUCUUUCUGCUUUGGUCCGCUGUGUUCUUCUGCUCACGCCGUGCUGAAACCUCUGCUCUGCUUGGCAUUCUGAAACCUUUGCUCUGCUCCGAACCGUGGUGCCGUGCUCUGUCCUCUCAGGUAAAUCGACAACUCUCCACCGUUCACCUCUUUCUCUCAAGCCUCUCGCCUCAGGCUCGGUCCUCAGAGGUACAUAAAGCAGAACAAUGACCUUGCUCUCUGUGCACCCGGGAUGGCGGUGACCACACAGUAAAGAUAAUUGAUAAAAUUGUGAAACUGGAAGUUGCGUAAAGGUUCUAGUUGGUCAUAGAAGGACGCCUUGGUGGUAAGGUUGUAAUCUGGCUUUUCAUAGUUUGGGAUCAUCCUUGUUGAAUUGAAGUUGCUAGAGACAGAGCCAAGUAAAGCAAAGAGGAACAUGGUGGGGGUUUACAUCAAUAUUCAUUGUUCAAGACAUCAGUCUCCGAAAAUGGAAAAAUAGAAGCUAGGAAAAAAUGAAGGUGUAAGGAAAUUGGAAUAGUUAGUUAUGCCCUUCUUGUAUUGCUGAGUCAUUAGAUUUAUAGCUCUUCUUAAGUCAGAAUAUGUAUUUUGUUUAGAGACUUUUUAUUAAAUCGGCUCGUCAUAUUUUGAUAUGUGAAUUAGAAAUCUUUAUACAUUAUAUCUAAUGUUUUUUGAAAUUUUAACAUGAU
This is a long non-coding RNA of Arachis stenosperma, 829 nucleotides long. RefSeq lists it as uncharacterized. NCBI's taxonomy places the organism in Eukaryota, Viridiplantae, Streptophyta, Magnoliopsida, Fabales, Fabaceae. The transcript has 4 exons. The record is from RefSeq and is a predicted model, not a curated record.